UACUAAAUUUUUUUUAUCUAUUUCUACUGUUAAAAACUGACAUGGUUGACAAAAUAACCAAACAAUGACACGUGCUGAUGUAUAGAGACCAGAAUUUAACAGUAGAAAUGGAUGAAAUUUUUAACA
Molecule: microRNA precursor, 126 nt
Filed under: Gossypium hirsutum (cotton)
Lineage: Eukaryota; Viridiplantae; Streptophyta; Magnoliopsida; Malvales; Malvaceae
Description: MIR7502 microRNA precursor family
Rfam family: MIR7502 microRNA precursor family
Source: Rfam by way of RNAcentral